AAGAUGUAGACUUUCGGGCUUGA
Molecule: non-coding RNA, 23 nt
Filed under: Arabidopsis thaliana (thale cress)
Lineage: Eukaryota; Viridiplantae; Streptophyta; Magnoliopsida; Brassicales; Brassicaceae
Source: RNAcentral